UGUUAUACAGGGUUUGUUGAACAUGUGA
RNAcentral lists this non-coding RNA (28 nucleotides) under Mus musculus (house mouse). The record is from RNAcentral. Lineage: Eukaryota; Metazoa; Chordata; Mammalia; Rodentia; Muridae.